UACGUAGGGGGCAAGCGUUGUCCGGAUUUAUUGGGCGUAAAGAGCGUGUAGGCGGUUAGGUAGGUCCGUUGUGAAAACUCGAGGCUCAACCUCGAGACGCCGAUGGAAACCAUCUAACUAGAGUCCGGAAGAGGAGAAUGGAAUUCCUGGUGUAGCGGUGAAAUGCGCAGAUAUCAGGAAGAACACCCGUGGCUAAGGCGGUUCUCUAGUACGGUACUGACGCUGAGACGCGAAAGCGUGGGGAGCAAACAGG
RNAcentral lists this ribosomal RNA (253 nucleotides) under uncultured bacterium. Its description in RNAcentral is "partial 16S ribosomal RNA". It matches the Rfam family "Bacterial small subunit ribosomal RNA", at positions 524 to 776 of the family's 1533-position model. The record is from RNAcentral.